UGAAUACGAGACGCUACGGCGUCGAAGCAGUCUAUGUCAUACUUCCAAGAAAAGCUUGCACUGUCAUAAACAAAUAAUGCCUGUACCAUAACCGACACAGGUGGGUAGGUAGAGUAUACUAAGGGGCGCGAGAUAACUCUCUCUAAGGAACUCGGCAAAAUGACUCCGUAACUUCGGGAGAAGGAGUGCCUUAUUUAUAAGGUUGCAAUAACAAGAUCCAAGCAACUGUUUAUCAAAAACACAGGUCUCCGCUAAGUCGCAAGACGAUGUAUGGGGGCUGACGCCUGCCCAGUGCCAGAAGGUUAAAGAAGUUGGUUAGCAUUAGCGAAGCUGAUAACUGAAGCCCUGGUGAACGGCGGCCGUAACAAUAACGGUCCUAAGGUAGCGAAAUUCCUUGUCGGGUAAGUUCCGACCCGCACGAAAGGCGUAAUGAUUUGGAUACUGUCUCGGAGAGGGACUCGGUGAAAUAGACUUGUCUGUGAAGAUGCGGACUACCUGCACCAGGACAGAAAGACCCUAUGAAGCUUUACUGUAACCUGAAAUUGAAAUUGGACUUUAUUUGCGCAGUAUAGGUGGGAGGCAUUGAUAAUAUUCUUGCGGGAAUGUUGGAGCCAUCAGUGAGAUACCACUCUUGUAAUGUUAGAUUUCUAACUUUGUAUCAUUAUCUGGUCAAAGAACAGUUUCAGGCGGGCAGUUUGACUGGGGCGGUCGCCUCCCAAUUGGUAACGGAGGCGCACAAAGGUUUCCUCUGAACGGGUAGAAAUCGUAUCUAGAGUGUAAAGGCAUAAGGAAGCUUGACUGUGAGACCUACAAGUCGAGCAGGGACGAAAGUCGGUCUUAGUGAUCUGACGGUGCUGAGUGGAAAGGCCGUCACUCAACGGAUAAAAGUUACUCUAGGAUAACAGGCUGAUCUCCCCCAAGAGUUCACAUCGACGGGGAGGUUUGGCACCUCGAUGUCGGCUCAUCGCAUCCUGGGGCGGUAGUACGUCCCAAGGGUUGGGCUGUUCGCCCAUGAAAGCGGUACGCGAGCUGGGUUCAGAACGUCGUGAGACAGUUCGGUCCAUAUCCGGUGUAGGCGUUAGAAUAUUGAGAGGAGCCUUCUUUAGUACGAGAGGACCGAGAAGGACAUACCUCUGGUGUACCAGUUAUCGUGCCAACGGUAAACGCUGGGUAGCUAUGUAUGGAGAGGAUAACCGCUGAAAGCAUCUAAGUGGGAAGCCCACCUCAAGAUAAGUA
Molecule: ribosomal RNA, 1236 nt
Filed under: metagenome
Description: bacterial LSU rRNA
Rfam family: Bacterial large subunit ribosomal RNA
Source: RNAcentral